GAUGAACGCUGGCGGCGUGCCUAAUACAUGCAAGUCGAGCGAACAGACGAGGAGCUUGCUCCUUCGACGUUAGCGGCGGACGGGUGAGUAACACGUAGGUAACCUACCUAUAAGACUGGGAUAACUUCGGGAAACCGGAGCUAAUACCGGAUAAUAUUUCGAACCGCAAGGUUCGAUAGUGAAAGAUGGCUUUGCUAUCACUUAUAGAUGGACCUGCGCCGUAUUAGCUAGUUGGUAAGGUAACGGCUUACCAAGGCAACGAUACGUAGCCGACCUGAGAGGGUGAUCGGCCACACUGGAACUGAGACACGGUCCAGACUCCUACGGGAGGCAGCAGUAGGGAAUCUUCCGCAAUGGGCGAAAGCCUGACGGAGCAACGCCGCGUGAGUGAUGAAGGUCUUCGGAUCGUAAAACUCUGUUAUUAGGGAAGAACAAACGUGUAAGUAACUGUGCACGUCUUGACGGUACCUAAUCAGAAAGCCACGGCUAACUACGUG
RNAcentral lists this ribosomal RNA (497 nucleotides) under uncultured bacterium. RNAcentral describes it as "partial 16S ribosomal RNA". It matches the Rfam family "Bacterial small subunit ribosomal RNA", at positions 28 to 507 of the family's 1533-position model. The record is from RNAcentral.